AAGUCGUAACAAGGUUUCCGUAGGUGAACCUGCGGAAGGAUCGUUA
Molecule: ribosomal RNA, 46 nt
Filed under: uncultured Cortinarius
Lineage: Eukaryota; Fungi; Basidiomycota; Agaricomycetes; Agaricales; Cortinariaceae
Description: partial 18S ribosomal RNA
Rfam family: Eukaryotic small subunit ribosomal RNA
Source: RNAcentral